RNAcentral lists this ribosomal RNA (496 nucleotides) under uncultured bacterium. RNAcentral's name for it is "partial 16S ribosomal RNA". It matches the Rfam family "Bacterial small subunit ribosomal RNA", at positions 30 to 523 of the family's 1533-position model. The record is from RNAcentral.
AUUGAACGCUGGCGGAAUGCUUUACACAUGCAAGUCGAACGGUAGAGGGGGCAACCCCUCGAGAGUGGCGAACGGGUGAGUAAUAUAUCGGAACGUGCCCAGUCGUGGGGGAUAACGUAGCGAAAGUUACGCUAAUACCGCAUACGAUCUAAGGAUGAACGGGGGGGAUCGCAAGACCUCGCGCGAUUGGAGCGGACGAUAUCAGAUUAGGUAGUUGGUGGGGUAAAGGCUCACCAAGCCAACGAUCUGUAGCUGGUCUGAGAGGACGACCAGCCACACUGGAACUGAGACACGGUCCAGACUCCUACGGGAGGCAGCAGUGGGGAAUUUUGGACAAUGGACGCAAGUCUGAUCCAGCCAUUCCGCGUGCAGGAUGAAGGCCCUCGGGUUGUAAACUGCUUUUGUACGGAACGAAAAGGUCUCUCUUAAUACGGGGGGCUCAUGACGGUACCGUAAGAAUAAGCACCGGCUAACUACGUGCCAGCCGCCGCAGUAA